This is a long non-coding RNA of Gallus gallus (chicken), 1140 nucleotides long. The record is from Ensembl. NCBI's taxonomy places the organism in Eukaryota, Metazoa, Chordata, Aves, Galliformes, Phasianidae.
GAGCAAAGCAGGGAGGUACAAGUGGCUGCAUCUGUAGCAAGGCUGGGCUCAGCUGAAGGAAAGGAAAAGGAAAAAAAGAAGUGAAAUGGGGAAAAAAAAAAAAAAAAAAAAAAAAAAAGGAGUGCUCUGCCAAUUGCUAAUUAGCUCCUGCUUGUAGGGAAGCUGGAGGUAGGAAGGCAGCACUGAGCUGACGGGCUGAGCAACACGGUGCUACAGCACUCCAGCAGCCAGCCGGGCACUGCCAUUCCCAGGAAAGAACUGAGGCCCAGGAGACUACCUCUGGGCUCACAAUACCUUGCUGGAACCACUGCAGGCAGGAAGAGGAUUCAGCCUGAGCAAAGCUGAGCAAAAGUUGGACCUGGUCUGGUUGAGCUCAUGAAAGCAAACAUGUUUGGACAACAAUCUCGGAGAUGUGACCACGUCUAGAAUUUCGCUGUUUCAGCAGAUGCUCCUUACUACUGGAUGCCAGUAAAAAACCCAAGCCCAGAGCACAGUGCUGUCUAAAAAAUGAAAGAGAAGACCAUGUGAUCUCAUGAAGGAAAAGGAGAAAAGUGAAAAAGUGCUUGGCAGCCCCAACACCUCUCUCCGUUGUGGCUCUGGCAGAACAGCCUCUGGACAGGAGAAAGCACAUUUCUGCUGCAGUGCCCGGGGACAUGAAGGGUCCCCCACAGCCAUCAGGACACCCUGGGGACAUAUGUUGCAUGGAAAGGAUGAAGCUCAGUGCUGAGUGUAAACCACGCAGCCUAUGCCUUGUAGGAAGCGGUCGUGUAGGGAAAAUUGCAUCAUCAAACAAUUAGAGACUGUAUCUCAAGCCAUGUGCAGAGGGGGUCAGACUGAGGUUGCCGAGUGAUCUGAAUUUGGUGAUUUUCCGCACUGGUUUAAAGCCCCCUCUCCAGCAGAAAUCAGCCAUGUCACGGGGCUGCGAGAAGGGCGACUGAUAAGAGCGAUCUCUCUCAUCCCUCACACGAGCACGAAGCCCCCACCGGGUGCAGAGCGCUCCCCUGGGCCGCCCGGGCCCCACCGCUGCUCCCGCGAAGCCACCUCCGAGGGCACCCGCCUCGCUGCCCGCGCGAACCCGGUGUGGGCCGGGGCAGGUGACCCGUGGAGAGCGGCGGCGCCCGGCGGUGCCCGCAGGGGUCG